GUCGAACGAGGUAGCAAUACCUAGUGGCGAACGGUCGCGUAACACGUGGGCAACCUGCCCCAGAGCGGGGGAUAACACUCCGAAAGGAAUGCUAAUACCGCAUGUGGCGGCUCUCUGCAUGGAGAGUUGGCUAAAGAUUUAUCACUCUGGGAUGGGCCCGCGGCCUAUCAGCUAGUUGGUGGGGUAACGGCCUACCAAGGCUUCGACGGGUAGCUGGUCUGAGAGGACGAUCAGCCGGAUUGGGACUGAGAUACGGCCCAGACUCCUACGGGGGGCAGCAAUUAGGAAUCUUGCGCAAUGGGCGAAAGCCUGACGCAGCGACGUCGCGUGGAGGAUGAAAUCUUUCGGGAUGUAAACUCCUUUUGUGAGGGAAGAAGAAUGUGACGGUACCUCACGAAUAAGCCCCGGCUAACUACGUGCCAGCAGCCGCGGUAAUACGUAGGGGGCGAGCGUUGUCCGAAGUUACUGGGCGUAAAGCGCGCGUAGGCGGGCUCUUAAGUGAGGGGUGAAAGGUUCGGGCUCAACCCGAACACUGCCUUUCAUACUGGGAGCCUUGAGUGCGGGAGAGGCGAGUGGAAUGGUCGGUGUAGCGGUGAAAUGCGUAGAUAUCGAUCGGAACACCCAUGGCGAAGGCAGCUCGCUGGCCUGCAACUGACGCUGAGGCGCGAAAGCGUG
This 675-nucleotide ribosomal RNA is filed under the name uncultured Bacillota bacterium. RNAcentral's name for it is "bacterial SSU rRNA". It matches the Rfam family "Bacterial small subunit ribosomal RNA", at positions 61 to 763 of the family's 1533-position model. The record is from RNAcentral. Lineage: Bacteria; Bacillati; Bacillota.